UGAACCUUAUCAUUUAGAGGAAGGAGAAGUCGUAACAAGGUUUCCGUAGGUGAACCUGCGGAAGGAUCAUUGUCGAAACUUGCCAAGCAGAACGACCCGCGAACUAGUACAAGCAGCCAUGGGGGCGCUUGUGGCGGGCUUGAUUGCCCCCAUUCUCUGCCCCAUUGCCGGGUGCGUUGUUGAACUGCGUUCCUCGGCCGAAAAUAAACCCCGACGCAAAUCGCGUCAAGGAACUCAAACAAUAGAAGGGAAGCGCGCCCCCUGGAUCUCAUUUGCGAGUGAAGUUACGGGGGGUAGCGGUCGCAUCUUUCAUGAACAUUACGACUCUCGGCAACGGAUAUCUCGGCUCUCGCAUCGAUGAAGAACGUAGCGAAAUGCGAUACUUGGUGUGAAUUGCAGAAUCCCGCGAACCAUCGAGUCUUUGAACGCAAGUUGCGCCCGAAGCCAUUAGGCUGAGGGCACGUCUGCCUGGGCGUCUCACAUUGCGUCGCCCCUCGGCCUGUGCCCGCAAAGGGUUCUUGGGUUGAUGGGGGCGGAUUUUGGCCCCCCGUGUGCCCUAGUGCACGGUCGGCCUAAAGAUGAGAAACCGGCGAAGAACGUCACGAUGAGUUGUGGAUGUGAAAACGUUGCGUCAUGUCGUGCUCGUCUCGCCCCAAGGGUUGCUUUUGUUUUUGACCUUGAAAGCGUCGUUUUCAUGAUGCCUCAAU
RNAcentral lists this ribosomal RNA (707 nucleotides) under Micropholis porphyrocarpa. Its description in RNAcentral is "eukaryotic LSU rRNA". The stretch from base 323 to 478 matches the Rfam family "5.8S ribosomal RNA". Lineage: Eukaryota; Viridiplantae; Streptophyta; Magnoliopsida; Ericales; Sapotaceae. The record is from RNAcentral.